GUGCUUGUAGCUCAGUGGUUAGAGCACUGGUCUUAUGAGCCAGUGGUCGGGGGUUCGAACCCCCCCUAGCGCA
Ochromonadaceae sp. CCMP2298 is the source of this 73-nucleotide non-coding RNA. The record is from the annotation of a GenBank genome assembly. Lineage: Eukaryota; Synurophyceae; Ochromonadales; Ochromonadaceae.